This 300-nucleotide unclassified non-coding RNA is filed under the name Hevea brasiliensis (rubber tree). The record is from RNAcentral. Lineage: Eukaryota; Viridiplantae; Streptophyta; Magnoliopsida; Malpighiales; Euphorbiaceae.
GAGCCGCAUCGUCGUCGGCUGCUUGAAGCCUCAGGAAGAUUGAGAAAGUGAACCUUGUUGUCAACGAAGUUGAAAAAACCACGUCGGUUCGUCUGGUUUUUUGGGAGCAUUAACCAUGGGAGCUGACAUGGUAGGUUUUUGGGAGUCGCCGGCGUUGAGGAACGCCAGCUGGGACAAACCGCCCGGAAAUGGAGGUAGUCACGGAGGUCAAUUAUCUUAUUCACGAUCGCGUCGAGAAGCUCCGGUGGAAGUUCCGACCAGUCAUGGUCAACCGACAUGGUUUUAGAUAAUACCAUUGAA